Molecule: ribosomal RNA, 562 nt
Filed under: Tuber aestivum (summer truffle)
Lineage: Eukaryota; Fungi; Ascomycota; Pezizomycetes; Pezizales; Tuberaceae
Description: eukaryotic LSU rRNA
Rfam family: Eukaryotic large subunit ribosomal RNA
Source: RNAcentral
CAUAUCAAUAAGCGGAGGAAAAGAAACCAACAGGGAUUGCCUCAGUAACGGCGAGUGAAGCGGCAAGAGCUCAAAUUUGAAAUCUGGCGCCCCGCCGGCGUCCGAGUUGUAAUUUGGAGAGGCAUCUUCAGGAGGGGGCCCGGCCUAUGUUCCUUGGAACAGGGCGUCGCAGAGGGUGAGAAUCCCGUUCUUGGCCGGACAGCCCCUCCGGUGUGCAGUGUCUUCUACGAGUCGAGUUGUUUGGGAAUGCAGCUCAAAAUGGGUGGUAAAUUUCAUCUAAAGCUAAAUAUGGGCGAGAGACCGAUAGCGCACAAGUAGAGUGAUCGAAAGAUGAAAAGCACUUUGAAAAUAGAGUCAAACAGCACGUGAAAUUGUUGAAAGGGAAGCGCUUGAGACCAGACUCGGCCAUGGACUAACAGCUGUCCCUUCUGGGCGGUGCACUUGUCCUUGGCCGGGCCAGCAUCGGUUGGGACGGCGGGACAAAGGCUGGGGGAAUGUGACUCCCUUGAGGAGUGUUAUAGCCCCCGGCGCCAUGCCGCCCGCCCCGACCGAGGACCGCGCU